CUCUGGCCUCCACCUUGAAACCGUUUCUCACGAUGGUUAUGCGCGAUCCACCCAACAGGAAUUUUGUUUUGCCAGGUUUGCGAAACCAAAGCACAGCGAUUCCUCCAACACGACGUAUCCAACGUGAAGAUUCCUCAGAGUGAAGUACACGGAUGUGACAUCUUUUCUGCUGAAGAUCUCGUAAACUUUCAUCGUCCGAUCUCUAGAACAUAAAACCGGUGAUAAUAAAUACCAAGGCAGAUGUAACGAUCCAGGGAAUGGCAAGCUUAUGCACCUCAUCUCUUUGCUCUCG
Molecule: long non-coding RNA, 292 nt
Organism: Bombus pascuorum
Lineage: Eukaryota; Metazoa; Arthropoda; Insecta; Hymenoptera; Apidae
Exons: 2
Source: RefSeq, a predicted model, not a curated record